GAUGAACGCUGGCGGCGUGCCUAAUACAUGCAAGUCGAGCGAACGGACGAGAAGCUUGCUUUUCUGAUGUUAGCGGCGGACGGGUGAGUAACACGUGGAUAACCUACCUAUAAGACUGGGAUAACUUCGGGAAACCGGAGCUCAUACCGGAUAAUAUUUUGAACCGCAUGGUUCAAAAGUGAAAGACGGUCUUGCUGUCACUUAUAGAUGGAUCCGCGCUGCAUUAGCUAGUUGGUAAGGUAACGGCUUACCAAGGCAACGAUGCAUAGCCGACCUGAGAGGGUGAUCGUACACACUGGAACUAGUACCAGGUCCAGACUCCUACGCGAGGCAGCAGUAGGGAAUCUUCCGCAAUGGGCGAAAGCCUGACGGAGCAACGCCGCGUGAGUGAUGAAGGUCUUCGGAUCGUAAAACUCUGUUAUUAGAGAAGAACAUAUGUGUAAGUAACUGUGCACAUCUUGACGGUACCUAAUCAGAAAGCCACGGCUAACUACGUG
Molecule: ribosomal RNA, 497 nt
Filed under: uncultured bacterium
Lineage: Bacteria
Description: partial 16S ribosomal RNA
Rfam family: Bacterial small subunit ribosomal RNA
Source: RNAcentral